UUUUGGCAAGCUAUGUUCCCUGGCUUGUGUCCAGUCUACAAAAGGUCUUAAAACCACGGAGCAGGGCUUUAAGCGUUUAGGAUCUCGCUUUUUGCAGGCUUUUGACAAGAAGGCUCAGAUCUCCACUAACCAGUGGCCACAUUUUACCAUCAUGAUCAUUGAGUAGCUCACAACCAAACCGUUUGCUUUAUCACAGCAAGAAGAGUGAGGAGAGCCAAAAAUGUCACAGAAGAAAGACAACUCAGAACAACCACCCUCAGCCUCCCAAGUCCAGGACACUGGGUCAACGACUCUUCACAACUUCUUCAGGCUGAAUAUGGAUGUUGAGAUAUCUUGAUGGGGGCUAGGGAAAAUGGCCUUAAGAAGGCCACCCAACAAUUGGUGCAGUCUCUGAUGUUUGUCCUGACUGGAUCUGGCCAAAAGUCCCUGAGAUCAGGAGUUCAAGCAGGGAUGAAAAACUGAAGGACAGUACCCAAAGUCACACAGCAAACAAAUGUCUCAACUAAUAUUCGAGUCCAGAUCGGACUCCUUACUUCGUCACUAAGGACGCGCCUGUGGAUAAUUGUGUCUGAGCUCCCGAAGAGCCGUAAACUAGAUUUUAAAGGUCAAAGAGAUAAGGCAAGUCUUGGAUUGUCUUCUUGCCACUUUUACUUCAUUUUCAUACUAUCUUUUCACUGGUGUAAGGAAUUUGCCGAAUGUCU
Molecule: long non-coding RNA, 701 nt
Filed under: Rattus norvegicus (Norway rat)
Lineage: Eukaryota; Metazoa; Chordata; Mammalia; Rodentia; Muridae
Description: long non-coding RNA NONRATT000244
Source: RNAcentral